This 362-nucleotide ribosomal RNA is filed under the name uncultured bacterium. Its description in RNAcentral is "SSU rRNA". It matches the Rfam family "Bacterial small subunit ribosomal RNA", at positions 26 to 382 of the family's 1533-position model. The record is from RNAcentral.
AGAACGAACGCUGGCGGCGUGGAUAAGACAUGCAAGUCGAACGCGACUUAUCGAGUUAGCAAUAAUUUGGUAAGUUGAGUGGCGAAAGGGUGCGUAACACGUGGGAAAUUACCAAGAAGUGGGGAAUAGCUCGACGAAAGUCGAAUUAAUACCGCAUAUGAUCGCAAGAUCAAAGCCGGGGACCGCAAGGCCUGGCGCUUUUUGAGAUGCCCGCGGCCCAUCAGCUAGUUGGUGAGGUAAAAGCUCACCAAGGCUAUGACGGGUAGCUGGUCUGAGAGGACGACCAGCCACACUGGAACUGAGACACGGUCCAGACACCUACGGGUGGCAGCAGUCGAGAAUUUUUCACAAUGGACGAAAGU